Non-coding RNA from Schistosoma mattheei, 46 nucleotides. The record is from Rfam. NCBI's taxonomy places the organism in Eukaryota, Metazoa, Platyhelminthes, Trematoda, Strigeidida, Schistosomatidae.
GCACUGCUGAGGAGUCCCACAAUAGGAUGAAAAGGCCGUCCAGUGC